AUUGAACGCUGGCGGCAUGCCUUACACAUGCAAGUCGAACGGCAGCACGGGGGCAACCCUGGUGGCGAGUGGCGAACGGGUGAGUAAUGCAUCGGAACGUGCCCAGUAGUGGGGGAUAGCUCGGCGAAAGCCGGAUUAAUACCGCAUACGACCUACGGGUGAAAGCGGGGGACCGCAAGGCCUCGCGCGAUUGGAGCGGCCGAUGUCAGAUUAGGUUGUUGGUGGGGUAAAGGCCUACCAAGCCGACGAUCUGUAGCUGGUCUGAGAGGACGACCAGCCACACUGGGACUGAGACACGGCCCAGACUCCUACGGGAGGCAGCAGUGGGGGGUUUUGGACAAUGGGGGAAACCCUGAUCCAGCCAUGCCGCGUGCGGGAAGAAGGCCUUCGGGUUGUAAACCGCUUUUGUCAGGGAAGAAACGCGCUGAGCUAAUACCUCGGCGUAAUGACGGUACCUGAAGAAUAAGCACCGGCUAACUACGUGCCAGCAGCCGCGGUAAUACGUAGGGUGCAAGCGUUAAUCGGAAUUACUGGGCGUAAAGCGUGCGCAGGCGGUCUUGUAAGACAGAGGUGAAAUCCCCGGGCUUAACCUGGGAACUGCCUUUGUGACUGCAAGGCUUGAGUGCGGCAGAGGGGGAUGGAAUUCCGCGUGUAGCAGUGAAAUGC
Molecule: ribosomal RNA, 666 nt
Filed under: uncultured bacterium
Lineage: Bacteria
Description: bacterial SSU rRNA
Rfam family: Bacterial small subunit ribosomal RNA
Source: RNAcentral